RNAcentral lists this transfer RNA (73 nucleotides) under Mustela putorius furo (domestic ferret). It matches the Rfam family "tRNA". Rfam says of the family: Transfer RNA (tRNA) molecules are approximately 80 nucleotides in length. Lineage: Eukaryota; Metazoa; Chordata; Mammalia; Carnivora; Mustelidae. The record is from Rfam by way of RNAcentral.
GCCUGGCUGGCUCAGUCAGUAGAGCACAAGACUCUUGAUCUUGGAAUCGUGAUUUCAAGCCCCAUGUUGUGUG